Non-coding RNA from Salmo salar (Atlantic salmon), 54 nucleotides. Lineage: Eukaryota; Metazoa; Chordata; Actinopteri; Salmoniformes; Salmonidae. The record is from Rfam.
UGCAUUCACUACUGUAAGUUGCUCUGGAUAAGAGUGUCAGCUAAAUGACUGAAA